Molecule: ribosomal RNA, 464 nt
Filed under: uncultured bacterium
Lineage: Bacteria
Description: bacterial SSU rRNA
Rfam family: Bacterial small subunit ribosomal RNA
Source: RNAcentral
UCCUACGGGAGGCAGCAGUGGGGAAUAUUGCACAAUGGGGGAAACCCUGAUGCAGCCAUGCCGCGUGUGUGAAGAAGGCCUUCGGGUUGUAAAGCACUUUCAGCGAGGAGGAAAGGUCAGUAGCUAAUAUCUGCUGACUGUGACGUUACUCGCAGAAGAAGCACCGGCUAACUCCGUGCCAGCAGCCGCGGUAAUACGGAGGGUGCAAGCGUUAAUCGGAAUUACUGGGCGUAAAGCGCACGCAGGCGGUUGGAUAAGUUAGAUGUGAAAGCCCCGGGCUCAACCUGGGAAUUGCAUUUAAAACUGUCCGGCUAGAGUCUUGUAGAGGGGGGUAGAAUUCCAGGUGUAGCGGUGAAAUGCGUAGAGAUCUGGAGGAAUACCGGUGGCGAAGGCGGCCCCCUGGACAAAGACUGACGCUCAGGUGCGAAAGCGUGGGGAGCAAACAGGAUUAGAUACCCCGGUAG